Molecule: ribosomal RNA, 460 nt
Filed under: uncultured bacterium
Lineage: Bacteria
Description: partial 16S ribosomal RNA
Rfam family: Bacterial small subunit ribosomal RNA
Source: RNAcentral
CCUACGGGAGGCAGCAGGGAGGAAUAUUGGUCAAUGGACGCAAGUCUGAACCAGCCAUGCCGCGUGCAGGAAGACGGCUCUAUGAGUUGUAAACUGCUUUUGUACGAGGGUAAACGCAGAUACGCGUAUCUGUCUGAAAGUAUCGUACGAAUAAGGCUCGGCUAACUCCGUGCAAGCAGCCGCGGUAAUACGGAGGAUUCAAGCGUUAUCCGGAUUUAUUGGGUUUAAAGGGUGCGUAGGCGGUCGGAUAAGUUAGAGGUGAACUCCCGAGGCUCAACUUCGGAAUUGCCUCGGAUACUGUUCGGCUAGAGAGUAGUUGCGGUAGGCGGAAUGUAUGGUGUAGCGGUGAAAUGCUUAGAGAUCAUACAGAACACCGAUUGCGAAGGCAGCUUACCAAGCUACUUCUGACGUUGAGGCACGAAAGCGUGGGGAGCAAACAGGAUUAGAUACCCGGGUAGUC